RNAcentral lists this long non-coding RNA (5310 nucleotides) under Polistes canadensis. RNAcentral's name for it is "uncharacterized LOC106784823, transcript variant X1". The record is from RNAcentral. Lineage: Eukaryota; Metazoa; Arthropoda; Insecta; Hymenoptera; Vespidae.
GGCAGUAGAGCAGCACCAACUAAGACCGGGGGCGUCUCAAAGCCCCCUUUUCCUUUUGAGGGGGAAAGCUCGAGAAAGAGGACGCCACUGCUAGGGCCAGAGAGAGAGAGAGAGAGAGAGAGAGAGAGAGAGAGAGAGAGAGAAAGAGAGAAUGAGAAAGCGAGAACCGUGAAGGGGAGGAGGAAGCAAAUUAAUACGGGCGGGCAAGAGGGUCCAGCUAACGAACGAACCGACGCCAAGUCUAGUGUCGACCAGCGCCGCGACGCCUUGCAAUCCCACUUUCUCUCUCUCUUCCGCUAGCUUGAUCGUUCUCAUCCUUGUUUCUCGAAAUCCAUCUCGAGACACAUACAUAUUAUUAUCUACGAUUAUUACGUAUAUCGUUUCUUCGCACACGCGUCGUUGAUUUUUUUUCUAACGAGUAUUUCGAUCGACCUUCGUCGAUCUACUACUCUUGAGAGAUAGAACUCGUACGUCGGUUGUUUUUUUUUUUUUUAAAGGCACACGUUCACUCACGUCGAUUAAGAAAAUGACAUCACACGCGUUACGCGGUGUUUUGUGAACGAAGGGCUUGUUGUUUAUCGGAUUGAUACUUUGGAUUUUGGCGGUGACAGUGAGAGAUUAGAGCGUUCUUUUUGAGUGUUAGCAUGGAUGAUUUUAAUGGAGGCCGGUGUCGAGCGUGAUUCUAAGGGAUUUUUAUCGAUAGCUUUCCUUUUUUUCGUUGUUUUGUGAAAUACAAAAUUAAGGAUGAUCACGUUUCAACGUUAAAUUGUUUUCUCUUUUUAAAUGAUUUGUUUAUAAACUUUCAAGUUUGCUUUAGUACAUAUUUGUUGAAGAAUCGCUUCUUUUUCCGGGAAAUACAAUUUUUCAAUUUUGUAUUUUCCUUUUAAUCGACUUUCUUUAAUCCGGAUUAUUACCGACGUCGACGGUACGUAGUUAAAAUAUAUCGACUGAUUAAUUAAACGAUUAAAAGAGGAACGUCCAUGAAAAUUAGCGACGAAACGAGCGGACGAUUAAGAUUAACAGAAUAAUUAGUAGAUUUCUUCUCGUCGCGAUAAUCACGAUAAACGAUAGUUUCUCUCCUUUCUAAGAGCUGGCUCUGCCCUGUGCUCGAUCUAUUUUUCUUCUUUCUUUUUUUACAUUGCACCGACAUUUUGCAAGUAAACGUCUAUCGAGAUUGGAAUCACACGCAAUUUCCAUACGACUCGACUGUGUUGAUAAAUGGAGAAUAUAUAGCACAUGUUCUUUUUUAAAUAGCUCCUAGUUCUUAGAGUUGUUUGCGAUGCCGAUUCGUUAGCGCGGAAAUCGCUGAGAACUCGCGAAGGAGAAGGAGAAUCGGAAGGAAACGUCACGGUGUUGUCGCUUUCGCGAAAACGAGUCACGAGGAUCGAGCCGAUGCUCGCUUCGAGACGUUCUCCUCGCAGUCUCAUUUUAAUUAAACGAAAUUCCGCGUGUAACAAAGGGCGGCAAGCCAGCCGGAUAAUUCGAAAGGGCAGAUACGUGCUUCCUGGUUGGUCGAGUCGGUGGAUACGGGUGGUGGCGGCGAGGGAAGAGGGUCGACGGAGGUAUUAUGUAGGAUACGUAUACGUGUGCGGAUUGGAUGAUUGGAAUCGUAGAACGAACGAAGCUCGUCUUCGUGCAUGCGUCGCGACCCAUCGUUACGAGCCUAGUAUAAACCUACGCCAUUUUCUAUGGUCAUCGAGAGAAUGAGCAGCGUGCGAACUCUGCUAACACAUCCAGAGAUAUGUUUUGGCUACGAUAUUAUUGUCUUCUGAUUAUAUCGGACAAUGGAAGCAUUGCCGGAAGUGUAACGGAAAUUGUGCCUCUCGAUGCGCGACUAGGGGAGGAUGAUGUGCAGGGAUAGGGGACAGCAAUUUCGAGACGUGCCAAUCGUCACGUUGAAGGAAGAAAACGGAAAUUGGAUGGACCAGCGUCUUGAGACCUUCCUGCGGAUGUAAUAAAUGUUCCCUCGGUGAUUUAUGGAAUUUUAUUUAUCCUUUUUCGUAUCUUAGUAACCGGACUUUGGAUCACAGGAUUACUUGGGAUAUUAUGUUCCAUAUAAUUCUCAUGACUUUAGAGGAAAUUUUAUUUAUCCUACCGCGCGAGAUAGGAGGAACGAAGAAGCAUUUAUUAGGUGCUCCGAUCGGUAUGCACGUAUCGCUUAGUCGAUGGGAGCAAGUUCUUGAUUUCCGCUUCUUUCGAAAGCAUACUUUCUUCCUCGUUUUCGUCCUCUUCGUUCGUCUAUUAUAAGUUCGAUGCAGAUUCCUUCGCUUCACGUUCACCAUUCUUACGAGGAAUUCGAUAUCGUGCAAUUAAAUGCUCUCCUUCCUGUACCGCCCUUUCACUAAGAUGGAAGAAGAAGAUGCAGUCAAAGAGAGAACUUAAGGUCGAGGAUCCGAAGGGAAGAAGUUGCAGGAUGCGACGUAGCCGAAGAAGAGAAAGGGGCAAGAAAGUUGUCUGCAAACAGUCAGAGAAAGAAUUUUGCCGAAGCUUUAAGUAAUUGGACGGAUGUAAGAGAUUCGAGCACGUGGUUGACGACCUCAACACAUCGUAAAUGGCAAAACGUAAAAUAGUUUACGUUAUUGGACAAUGAAAUCUGGAGAUACCAGUUACCAUUCGUAGACUUGAUUGAAUCAUAAACGAAGGAAUGGUUGAUGGGGAAUAUUUAAAGGAUGGAUAGGAAGAAGAGAAUACGAAAGCAUUUUCGUAUAAUUGAUCAAGUCUAAUGAGUUAAAGGGGAUGAAACGGUAUCGAUAAUGGAUAUUAAAGAGUUCUAGGUCAUGGCAACGACAGCCUCGAGGGAGAGAGAAAGUACGGAGAACUUGGGUACUUGUUCUCUCUCUCUCUCUCUUCCACCUCUUUAGCCCUCCCGUCACUCGGUCGGGUCGGUCCAACCGAUGUGCAGAGAGCGCUGAUUGUAAAUUAGUUAAAGGAGAUGCUUUAUUAGAAGCAGCUGUUUGCACCCUGAGAGUUCGCUUUCCUAUUGUUAAUAGAGUUUUAUAGUAAAAAUCGUUUACUUCUUAUAAGUAUUCAUAAUAGUUAAGAUAAAGAAGAGAUAUUUUAUAAAAAAUAUGAAUAACUUAACAUGCAACACGGGGAAUUAGUCAAGCACAGAUCGCAAUUGUCAAAAAUGUAUUCACCUUAAGAGAAACUAACGAAAUCCUAUCCCAUAUCGCCAUUACUUGUUAGUCGCCUCGGGACUCGAGCUCGCCAGCGAUGACGUUUCAACGUCGCUCCACGCUCACUUUUCAAUUUGCAGACAAAUGAAGAAGGAGCUGCACUGGUAGGAAGAAAACGUGUGGGACACGUAAUGGGGCAUAGAGUAGGAGGAUGAAUGCUAUCAAGUAAAAAGAGAUAAAAAUGGUGAAGAAGAAAAUAGAGAGGAGAAAAGACAAAGAGAAAAAGCGAGAGGAGAGUUAGGAAGGAGUGGGAUGGAGCGAGUGGGGGAGGGAUGAUACUAAAAGAAAGAAAGGAAACGCGUGGCGAAGCAGCAGAAGGGAUGGUCGAGUAUGAGAAAGGAGAAAAGGCGGCCUGUUACACGAAAGGUGGUGUCUUCCAUGUCCCCCAGGGAAAUUAUUGACAGUCAGCGAGGAAAUGACGUCGUAAAUACCACCUCGAGCCGAACCCCUCCUCGCAAGAGCAUCUACCAUCUUCGCCUUUUCAACUUGCCUUCGUUUCUUCUCUUUUCCAUUUCUUUCUUUUUUUCUCCUCCUAAUGCCCACCACCUUAUCCCCACUUACUAACUCCUUUUCUUUCGUUUCCAUGUUUCUCGGCUCGCUCAUGUGGAAGGUACACGUUAUUUCCACCGAAUUUAUCAUUGAUUUAACAUAAGAUUUUGAAGAUAGCCCUUCGAUUGUUUGCUGUCAGUAUCUCUUUUCGAAUAAAUCCAUAUUUUUUUUAUAUUAAGCGAAAUUUCAGAGAACAAAUGAAAGAAGAUAUGGAAAACUGAGAAAAGAAACGUUAGAAUUUGGGUCAUAUUACUAUGAUAGAAGGAAAUUAAAUAGACUCGCAAUGAAACGCAACCAGCGCGUAUCCUUUUUCGCGUUUACGAAACGUCGUUUGAGAUGUUAUUUAGUCGGCACGAAAAGGGACACCACCUUGGACUCGUAACAACUACGCAUUAAAAUGUUUCCAUGAAAAAAUUAACUCCGACCUAUUGGCAAGCGCUAGAAGAAUGUUUGAGUUGUUCUCGUUUUUUUUUCCUUUUUUUCGUCUGCAAUUUUGAUUUCAUUCGUAUCAUUUCCGGACGAACGUUGUAGGUAUUAUUAAAAUGUACAAAGCAGGAAUCAUUUCCAGUUAACAAUGUGUACGAGAGAAAGUUCCCUCCCCUUAUAAAGAAAUAGGGAGACGGAAGUGACUCGCGUUUUGUUUCUUUCUUUUCUCCUUUGCUCUUCUUUUUCUUCUUCUUCUUCUUUAUUGCUGAUGUUUCAUCCCUCGGAGCGAUUUAAUAGUUUUAUAAAGCCGCAAGCAAACGCUCAGCUCGUCGAGUUAAUUUCUUAUUUUUUAUUUCCUCAUUGUUCUUUCUUUCACAGGUAUUUAAAUCGAAGAAAUACCGUUGGUUUAUUAAAAGAAACACAAUGCAAUAUAUAUAUCUUUCUAUAACGCUUAUUCUAACAAUAAAAUAGCAGUUGAGAAUUCUUUCGUUUUUGCUUGUAUUAUUAGCAAUUUUCAUAUUUCAGGCGAGAGCGCAGUCGAGGUAUGUAGAUAUAAAGCGAAAAAGGAGAAGAAGAAAGAGGCGAGGCAGCGCUUGGAAUAUUUGCACGUGGAAAGACGAAACUCGUCGCUUCUCUCGGAUAUUGCAACCGAUGCCUCUCGUUUUCCCUUAUCCCCAAGUUUCUUUGCCGCGUGAAAGAAGAAGGAAGAAAGAAGAAGCGCAUUAUACGUGGAAGCGUUCCUCCCUUUCGCCUCGCGGCCACACGGAGAACAGGGAGUUCUCGCUUUGGAAGAAAAGGGAGAAAAACGAUGCCGCGGAGGAAAAUGUCGAGAGGAAAAAAGAUGACGAUUGAAAUUUCUGGCACGGAAGUCGCGCGAGUUUCGCUCAACAUUUGCGAUGCGUUCUUCUAUCGGUAGACACCGUGAGAAUUCUUCGAGCGUCUUAUUCUUCUUCGUAUAGACGCACGUGGAUCGAGAAAGUAUCCUCUUUGGCAUUAAAUGAUGCUCCUAUACAAAUCUAUAUAUUCUAUUGGUGUAUAUAGUAUUUAAAAUACAAAUUUUCAAUUUCUUCCUACGUAAUAUUACACAAUAAGCAUUUCGUUGGAAUAAUGUUGUUAGUACAUGCAAUACUAAUAAAAAAUAUAUUUAGAGAUGAUGACA